This 253-nucleotide ribosomal RNA is filed under the name uncultured bacterium. RNAcentral describes it as "partial 16S ribosomal RNA". It matches the Rfam family "Bacterial small subunit ribosomal RNA", at positions 524 to 776 of the family's 1533-position model. The record is from RNAcentral.
UACGUAGGGGGCGAGCGUUGUCCGGAUUUAUUGGGCGUAAAGAGCGUGUAGGCGGCUUGGUAGGUCUGCUGUGAAAACUCGGGGCUCAACCCCGAGACGUCGGUGGAAACCAUCUGGCUAGAGUCCGGAAGAGGAGAGUGGAAUUCCUGGUGUAGCGGUGAAAUGCGCAGAUAUCAGGAAGAACACCCGUGGCGAAGGCGGCUCUCUGGGACGGUACUGACGCUGAGACGCGAAAGCGUGGGGAGCGAACAGG